Molecule: small nuclear RNA, 103 nt
Filed under: Callithrix jacchus (white-tufted-ear marmoset)
Lineage: Eukaryota; Metazoa; Chordata; Mammalia; Primates; Cebidae
Description: 7SK RNA
Rfam family: 7SK RNA
About the family: 7SK was discovered as an abundant small nuclear RNA in the mid-70s but a possible function has only recently been suggested. Two independent studies have found that 7SK RNA binds the CDK9/cyclin T complex (known as elongation factor P-TEFb).
Source: Rfam by way of RNAcentral
GAUGUGAGAGCGAUCUGGCUGCCACAUCUGUCACCCCACUGAUUGCCAGGGUCGAUUCGGCUGAUCUGGCUGACUAGGCAGGUGCCUGUGGUCCCAGCUACUC